This is a non-coding RNA of Xylella fastidiosa 9a5c, 71 nucleotides long. The record is from Rfam. NCBI's taxonomy places the organism in Bacteria, Pseudomonadati, Pseudomonadota, Gammaproteobacteria, Lysobacterales, Lysobacteraceae.
GCGUUUUUAGUCCUCGGUAGAGCAUCGGACUUUUAAUCCGCUGGUCGCUGGUUCGAUUCCAGCACGGCCCA